RNAcentral lists this long non-coding RNA (1207 nucleotides) under Salmo trutta (river trout). Its description in RNAcentral is "lncRNA (ENSSTUG00000002429.1)". The record is from RNAcentral. Lineage: Eukaryota; Metazoa; Chordata; Actinopteri; Salmoniformes; Salmonidae.
UCAUCAACUAUGGAGUUGGGAAAACAUGUGGACAUGAAUUGUGAUAACUGCAGUGGCCAAAACAAGAACAAGUUUGUGCUCUGAUAUUGUGCCUGUUGAACAAUGCACAAGCUCCACCACAAUCUGUACUUUCACUUCCUGAUUACAGGCCACACCAAGUUUUACCCCGACUGGUUCUUCGGCCUCAUCAAACAGCACUUCAGAAAGACCAGAGUGAACACUUUGUCUGAGAUUGUUGGUGUUGUGAAGGACAACACUCUGACAGGGCUCAACAUCCCACAGCUGAUUGGACUGGAGGAUGGUACGGUGCUGGUGGAAAGCUAUGGCUGGCAACAACACCUCACUCCGUACUUCAGGCCACUGCCACAGAUCAAGCAGUACCAGCACUUCAGCUUUGAUGCUGCGCAACGCUGACAUCCUUCCUCCCAUACAUGGUCUGCCUGUAAAAGCACCACCUGGACUGGACACAGCAAGACAAACUAACUUUUUGACAAGAUAAAGGAGUUUUAAGACGAAUAGGCUAUGGACAUCACAUGCCCUGCACCAAAGUCAAGGGCAGGACAGAAACAGGCUCUCAGAAUAUAGAUUCCCUUCAUGCGUGGUUUGGACGGACCAGUCAUCAGCACUAUCUGCAGUGCCUCUACUCACAUGACUCUCUCCUAACACACACACUAUACGUUGCUGCUACAAUUGUUUGGUUUAUCCCGCUGCUCAGCCACUUUAUCCCUGAUUGUAUGCAUAUAACAACCUCGUCUAUCACUGAUAUCGUUAUUGAUGUUGUUCUUGUACAUAAUUUAUAGUUUAUUUGUAUCUAUUUCUGAUAUUGUGAUAGCUGUACAUUACUUCUCUAUUUCUAUUUUUGGCAACUUUUACUUCACUACAUUAGUAAAGAAAAUAAUGUACUUUUUACUCCAUACAUUUUCCUUGACACACAAAGUACUCGUUACAUUUUGACAGGAAAAUUGUCCAAUUCACACACUUAUCAAGAGAACAUCCCUGGUCAUCCCUACUGCCUCUGAUCUGGCAGACUCACUAAACAGAGAUGCUUUGUUUGUAAAUUAUGUCUGAGUGUUGGUGUGUGCCCCUGGCUCGCCGUCAAUAAAAAUAAUACAAUUGUCCUGUCUGGUUUGCUUAAUAUAAGACAUUUUAAGUGGUUUAUAUUUUCACUUUUGAUGCUUGAGUACAUUGUGCCCCUGGCUUUCCCUCA